GAAAUGCGAUACGUAGUGUGAAUUGCAGAAUUCAGUGAAUCAUCGAAUCUUUGAACGCACAUUGCGCCCUUUGGUAUUCCAAAGGGCAUGCCUGUUCGAGCGUCAUUUGUACCCUCAAGCUUUGCUUGGUGUUGGGCGUCUUGUCUUUUGGCUCUUUGCCCAAAGACUCGCCUUAAAACGAUUGGCAGCCGGCCUACUGGUUUCGCAGCGCAGCACAUUUUUGCGCUUGCAAUCAGCAAAAGAGGACGGCACUCCAUCAAGACUCCUUCUCACGUUUGACCUCGGAUCAGGUAGGGAUACCCGCUGAGUUUAA
RNAcentral lists this unclassified non-coding RNA (313 nucleotides) under uncultured Curvularia. RNAcentral's name for it is "sequence contains ITS1". The stretch from base 1 to 105 matches the Rfam family "5.8S ribosomal RNA", at positions 50 to 154 of the family's 154-position model. Lineage: Eukaryota; Fungi; Ascomycota; Dothideomycetes; Pleosporales; Pleosporaceae. The record is from RNAcentral.